GAAUCUUUAUUCCUCCCAGUCUCCAGUAUGAAUACUUCCCCAGGCUUGGUACCUUAGGCUAUCAAGAGAGGUAUACUAUAGCACCUGAUAUCAUCUUGCAGUAGGAAGGGGGAAGUCCCGGAGAGACUUCUAUCUUCUAACACUUUAUCAGUUUGUCGUGAAGAUAAGAAUUUCCAGAAAACCCACAUUCAGAGGACUUCUACCAAUUGGCCAGAAUGCCAUGAGGGCACCACUAUCAACAAGAAAGGUGUCGAUCGGGCUCGGCUGAUAGGCUGAAAGGAGAUGAUUACCUCAGCACUGAGCUGCCCCAAGCUUAUCAGCAAGGGAGAGCAAAGGGUGGACAGACUGACGGACAGGCGGACGUAAAAAUAAUCACUAGGUACAGCAGUGUGUGCUUGCUGUUUCCAGAAACCAUCUAGAAUUGAGCAUCAAGCUUAGGACUCCGAAUUACAGAACACCCAUCACUGCACAGAUCUACAUCCGAAUAUACAGAACACCCAUCACUGCACAGAUUUCAUCUAAAAAGAUAAUCUGAAGAGAUGUGCUGCCUUGCCUACAGUCAUAAAACAGAAUACCACGGGGAAAUAAAAAUAAGAGUUUGCAUUAUAUCCUGACAUUUCUUAGAGGGCUUAAGUAAAGCCACACAGACCAAGAAGAACCUGGGUGAAGAAAGGAUCAGAAGACCCUAGAGGACACGGCAAACCCACCCAGGGGAAUGGCAUAGCUGUGCGUUGUCACUCCGUCUGAGCAUUUCUCAAAGUGUGGGAAGAGCCAUCCAGAGGAGGGGAAAAGCCACAUCAGUGAGAAGCAAGGAGGGUACAGAGUGAUGACUGACACCCAGGUCCUAAGAAAGCAGUUGUUCUCAACCUUCCCAGAGCUGUGACCCCUGAAUACAGUUCCUCAUGUUGUGCUGACCCCCCAGCCACAGAAUUAUUUUCGUUGCUACUUCAUUAACUGACAUUUUGCUACUCUCGAAAAUCAUAAUGCAAAUAUCUGUGUUGUCUUCGGCAACCCGUGACAGGGUCAUUCGACUCGCUAAGGGGUGGAGACCCACAGGUUGAGAACUGUUGUGCUAAAGCGGGUGGCUGGCUCCUCUCUGCUGAGUACUGCAAGCUCCCACUGAAACCUGUGAUUGGUGACUUGGGGUAGAGGUGGCCAGGGUCUGCUUAUCAAAGCUACCUGUUGCAAUACUAGAAGGAAAACUGAAACACAGACCUAGAAUCUAACCAUUCUCGCAAUAAAGAACCCAUGCACGUGUGCGUGCGUACACAG
This is a long non-coding RNA of Mus musculus (house mouse), 1272 nucleotides long. RefSeq annotates it as RIKEN cDNA 4930563J15 gene. The transcript is spliced from 2 exons. The record is from RefSeq and is marked validated. NCBI's taxonomy places the organism in Eukaryota, Metazoa, Chordata, Mammalia, Rodentia, Muridae.